AAAACGACUCUCGGCAACGGAUAUCUCGGCUCUCGCAUCGAUGAAGAACGUAGCGAAAUGCGAUACUUGGUGUGAAUUGCAGAAUCCCGUGAACCAUCGAGUCUUUGAACGCAAGUUGCGCCCCAAGCCUUUUGGCCGAGGGCACGUCUGCCUGGG
This 156-nucleotide ribosomal RNA is filed under the name Crucihimalaya himalaica. RNAcentral describes it as "5.85 ribosomal RNA". It matches the Rfam family "5.8S ribosomal RNA". Rfam says of the family: 5.8S ribosomal RNA (5.8S rRNA) is a component of the large subunit of the eukaryotic ribosome. The record is from RNAcentral. Lineage: Eukaryota; Viridiplantae; Streptophyta; Magnoliopsida; Brassicales; Brassicaceae. RNAcentral also lists the same sequence under 5 other names.